CUGACUGAUCUGAACUCCAGUUCCAGGUGAGUCUCUGGGGACCCAGACUCAUACGGGGAAAAACUGGACUGUCUGGCAUCGGUCAGA
Myotis lucifugus (little brown bat) is the source of this 87-nucleotide non-coding RNA. The record is from Rfam. NCBI's taxonomy places the organism in Eukaryota, Metazoa, Chordata, Mammalia, Chiroptera, Vespertilionidae.